GCCAUACUUUGUUGAAAUUGGAUCACCGCAUCAUCUAUUGGUGGCUCCGUUGGAUAUAGCCAGCUGAGUCGUCUUUGUCUAUGGAAAAGUGAGCUACCUAGAAAUUAUGCAUCUAAAUGUUUAAUGUUGCCCUGCAAAGCUGUGACAUCGCUGAGUCUCUUUCUCUUGAUUAUCCAGGAUCAGAUUCCCUAGACAGAAGCUCCCCGGUCCUGGUCUCCUGCCCUACACACUCCAAGCAAGUGGGCCAAGAGAUUGCAGCAAAGGAGAGGUGCCAGAGAGGAAUCUUAUCUUCUGUCCUGGUUUCUCCGGCUUUCCUCCUGCCUGCAAAUUGAACACAGGGGGACUGACAUCCUGAGACCUGAUUGCACAUCCUUGGACUCAACCAACCAUGGAUUGAAAAUAUUUGAAUAAAGAGAUAAGCAGAAAAUGGUAGAUAGGAGGCCGGACUAACUUGCAGCUCCCACUCAGAUGGACAGAACAGCAUGCAGAGACCCACACUGUGAACUUUUACUCCAAAAACCACCACAGGAACAUACCAAGAAAGCCCAGAGAAUCCACAGAUCCUUUGAAGGAGGUAGGUUGCCGCUGCAGGCUCUGUGGGACAGCCGAGGAACUGUGAGGCAGCUUGCUUUCUCAGCUGGGAGGCUUGUUACCUGUGACAAGU
Molecule: long non-coding RNA, 664 nt
Filed under: Rhinopithecus bieti (black snub-nosed monkey)
Lineage: Eukaryota; Metazoa; Chordata; Mammalia; Primates; Cercopithecidae
Description: lncRNA (ENSRBIG00000045401.1)
Source: RNAcentral